UUUAAUUGUCACUUUUGAGAUUUUUACAUAAACCAAGACAACAAAUACUUUUUACUACUUUUGAUGCAACAAUUCAUCUUUUUCCUAUAAUAACCUUCAUCAUUUAAUAUCUCAUUUCAUUUACUUCUCUCUCUACAAUAAAUAAUCAAGGGUAAUAAAGGCAAAACAACAUUUAAUGUUGUAUUGAACUUUGAAAGUGACAGUUAAUUAGAA
RNAcentral lists this long non-coding RNA (213 nucleotides) under Medicago truncatula (barrel medic). Its description in RNAcentral is "long non-coding RNA (MTRU_LNC003126)". The record is from RNAcentral. Lineage: Eukaryota; Viridiplantae; Streptophyta; Magnoliopsida; Fabales; Fabaceae.